ACAUCGCCUCUUGAAUAAAAUAAGAGGUCCAGCCUGCCCAGUGAAAUUAUUCAACGGCCGCGGUAUCCUAACCGUGCGAAGGUAGCGUAAUCACUUGUUCUUUAAAUGAGGACUAGUAUGAAUGGCACCACGAGGGUGCUACUGUCUCCUUUUUUAAAUCAGUGAAACUAAUCUUCCCGUGAAGAAGCGGGAAUUUUUUUAUAAGACGAGAAGACCCUAUGGAGCUUUAAACAAAUGACAUUUGCUUCAUCUAACACUUUGUCUGCAAGAAGUAUAGCAUUAUGACCUUUAGUUUUCGAUUGGGGUGAUCACGGAGUAAAAUAUAACCUCCACGCCGAAAGGGUUUAUUCCCUAAGCAAAAAGCUACAGCUUUAGGCACUAAAAAAUUAACGUAAUUUGAC
RNAcentral lists this ribosomal RNA (401 nucleotides) under Hypsiboas aff. semilineatus AF-2016. RNAcentral's name for it is "partial 16S ribosomal RNA". It matches the Rfam family "Bacterial large subunit ribosomal RNA", at positions 1813 to 2373 of the family's 2925-position model. The record is from RNAcentral. Lineage: Eukaryota; Metazoa; Chordata; Amphibia; Anura; Hylidae.